CUGGGAAGGAAUCUUUGCUACUUGUUGAUAGAGGGGCAACUUUGGUAGUAUGACUUUGAUGGGACAUAUGUUAUUAGUUAUUUUUGUAAUUAACUUGGAGUAGUUUUCUUUCCCUUCUCAAGGAUCAGAAGAAGGAUUAUUAUAGUUUUCUUUCCCUUCUUCUUUGGUGCUAUUUUAUAGGAUUUCUUCCUUAGUAGUUGAUUGUGGAGUUGAGCUACCAAAAGAAGAUUCUUCUUCUUCAAUCUGGGCA
This 250-nucleotide long non-coding RNA is filed under the name Elaeis guineensis (African oil palm). RNAcentral's name for it is "long non-coding RNA (EGUI_LNC074350)". Lineage: Eukaryota; Viridiplantae; Streptophyta; Magnoliopsida; Arecales; Arecaceae. The record is from RNAcentral.